Molecule: long non-coding RNA, 5491 nt
Organism: Homo sapiens (human)
Lineage: Eukaryota; Metazoa; Chordata; Mammalia; Primates; Hominidae
Exons: 2
Source: RefSeq, a predicted model, not a curated record
ACAGUGUACAUUUCCUCAUCCCCAGGACCCAGCCAAGGGCCUGCUCCGAUGUCAGCCUCCGUUUCCGUGGUGAGGAAUCUCCGGGGUGUGUGGGGGCUUAUUGCUCAGUGGCUUCGUGGCUCUCUUUUGGGGGUGGGUCUGGCCUGAGAUUGGCACUUCUGGCCUGUUGCUGUGGGCUUCCCUUCCUUUUCCACUGCGUGCCAGGCCCUGCCCCAGGAGCAGGGGUGCUGCCUGUGGGAGCCACAUGAGGAACAGACCUUUACCCACCAGGAGGCCAGCGGUGGGCUGCGGGAAUAGGUGGAGGGCUCCCACCCAGCCUGGGGCUUUCCAGUUGAAAGACGCAUGGUGGUGGGCUGAGGAGUGAGCUUGGCGGAAGACUGUAUUCCGGACAUGGGGAGCAGCCUCUGCGAGACCCCAGAUGACUUGGGCCUGCGGGCAUGGUAAGGAGCUCAGUUCCAUCCCAGAGGCAGUAGGAGCUGUACCACUGGAAGGUUUCUGAGCCAGGAAACGUUGGGCAACUCCCCUGUGGCCCCUGUGUGUGGGAAGGAUCAGAGGCAGCCAGGAUGGAGUAGGCAGGACUUCAGUGGCUGCGGCGGGCACAGGACGGGAGUGGCCUGGCUGGGGGGCAGUGACUAGAGGCACAGGCUGGGUGGCCACUUGACUGGCCCCUGGGUGCUGGGGAGCCUGCCUCACCCUGUUGGGCUUGUGCUAGGGGGCAGGUAGUGGUGGGGUGGGAAUCCCAUAGGCCCUGUUUCUCUCAGGCCCAGAAGGGGGGUCCCAGGGGUCUGCUGUUGUACCCCUUCUGCCAAGGAUGGCUCAUGGAGGGACCCUGAAUCCGUCCCUUGCCUUCUCUGGUAUGGUCCCUCUUCUGGACAGGAAUUGAUUGGGUGGGGGACACUCAGCUGUCCUCCUCCUUCCUGGCCUGCCAGAUUCUGGCUGCUGGCUCAGGCUCUUCUCGUGGAUGGGCUGCUGGUCCCCCUCCUGCUACUUGAUGGAGCCUGUCAUUACCCCUCCCACCCCCAACUUCCCACCUGAUUACAGGUCCUGAGCAGGAGCCCUGUGUCUGCCCUUCCCGUGGAGGCCACCCACAGGCUGGUGCUGCGGAGGCCAGGGUGAGAUGGUUUUGCCCAAACGUUGGUUCCCUGUUCAGAGUUCAUGUCAUUUACAAGCUGUGUGUCCCUGGAGAAGUCCCUUAACCUCUCUGAGCCUCAGUGUUCUCUGGGAAGUGAGGACAGUGCGUGAAAUAAUGAGUGUGCAUGUGCAGUGCCGUGCUGGGCACAGAGGUGGUGCUGACAAGUGGCUGCUGCUAUUGUGUGUCGAUUGUGACAGUAGGUGGGGGGCAAGUAGAAAGUAGAAAGGCCCUGAGCGAGGCACUGGUCUAUGCCAACCCAGCUCUGUUGGAUGUGCUGUGUGGCCCUAGGAGAGUGUCACCACCUUUCUGGACCCCAAGCUCUCCCUGCUGUCUCAGGCACAUGAUGGAGAUGGUGGUGCUUGGGACAACUCUGAGACCUGCGAGAAUGGAGUCCCUGCCCCGACUCUGCCUCUGCUGGUCCCUGGACUGUAGGGUGGGUGGGGUCGGCACCCCCCUCUUUCCCCCACCUCCCCAUGCUGGACCUGCUCCCUAUGCCCUGGGAACCAGGCGGGCAGGUUCUGAGCCUGCCCCACCCUACAGGGUGCUGCUACCUGCCUGGUUUCAGUCGGCAAACCUCUCAGCCCUGAAACCCUGAAACCGGGCUGGGCCUCGUGGGUGAGGUGUGUCCCUGGAGCCCACUGGAGAGACCGGAUGAGCCAGGAACGGGUCUGGCACAGCGCCCUCCACUGGGGCCAAACCAGGGCUGGCGCCGGCGUGCAGCCCCCAUGGUGGACAUGAGCUGGAUGUGGUCGCAGCUGGAGAUGACUCUCUUCCUCUUGGGUCCCCCGUCCGUGUGGAACAGGGUUUCAGGCUUAGGCAUCAGGUCGGGACCAGGGUGCAGAUCCUACCUCUGCCUCUUCUCAGCAGAGUGAUUUGGCAGAGGUACCCAGUUCUCGGUCACCUGGUCUGAAAUGUUCUGCCAGUACCAAUACCACCUGGCCCGAGGUUGAGUUGAAGAAUCGGGGGCACGUGUCCAAGCAAAAUGCUUAGCACAGGAGCGGCACAUGGUGGCUUUGGGGAGCGUCAUGACAAGGCAAAGAAGGAACUCCUUAGCUUGGCAUUCGAGGCCCUCCGGGAUACGCCUUUUUAGGUCCAUUUUCUGAGAACCCCUGGACUCCUUCCUCCAUUCUCAGCUCAGCAAGCCUCCUCUCCUCUCUGAGCCUCAGUUCCCCUAUCUGCACAGUGGGCCUGGUACCCCAUCCCCCAGCUCCCCAAGCCUCCAGGCCACCCUGGGGCCUCCCCAGUUCUUGCCCAGCCUCACUAUCUGCACAGGAAGUAGCGUGGCCCUUAACGUUGUCAGUUUGGAAAAUCAGAGAUUAAUUAACGUUCCGGCCGCCUUGGCUGCUGUUGGAGCUGGUCCCAGGGUGGGCCAGGCUGCAUGCUCAGCCUCUGUUUCAAGGGCCUCACUGUGGGUUAGAGGAACCUUGACAAGAGGCACUUCUUAGGAGCCCCCAUUGGUGAAGUGCCCCCUUCUUGCCAGGGUAAAGGGCUUCAUGCUCAGUAGCCCGUUUGUCUCAUAACCCAUUCAGGCAGAUACUGUUGUGCCAUUUUGCAGAGGGGAAAAUAAAGGCUCAGAGAGGAGAAGUGCCUUAGCCAAGGCCACACAGCUCAUAGGUGGCAGAGCUGGGACUUGGACCCAGAGCCUGUGUGUCCAUGUAGAAAUGGUGCCCUGUUUGCAGGUGAUGGGGGGUGCCUAGUUCUCCCCCCGGGUCCUUUUGUCUGGCCCGAGGGGGCUGUGAUCAGCUGCUGGUCAGAGCUGACUCACCAGCAGCUCACAGGAGGGGCUGAGGCCAGCAUCCCGGUCAGUUCCUGGGGCCAGGGCAGCACUGAUUAGAUUGUCGUUGAGAUUUUCGGUCAGCUGAGCUGACAGGGACCCACCCUCCCAUUUUAAAGGUGGGAAAAUUAGGGCCCAGUGAGGAUGAAGAAGUAAGGCUCCAGUGGGUCGGAUGAUUCUCCACCAGCUCCGACCCGACAGGGGCCAGUGGAGCUGGAAACCCUAGACCUCAGUCCCGGCUCUGACACCUGCCAGCUGUUGCCUCGGGAAAGUCACUUUGCCCUCUGAGCCUCGGUUUCCUCGUCUGUAAGAUGAGGAUAGUAAAGCCUUGUGUUGCCUCAUUCUUGGGAUUGGGCAAGACCCCAGCAAGAGAGUGGAAAACCAGGGGUUUGAAAGCGGCAUUGCGGGUCCUCGUGAGGGGUCACUGGGAUGAGAGGCUUUGCGGGGUAGGGCUCUGUGCAGGCUUUGGUGGGAGACAAGGUCCAAAACCCACCUCUUUCCCCUCCGUUGUGUGUCUUUGAGUGAGUCAGUGAGUCUCUCUGAGCCUCACUUUUCUUCCUUUCUUUUUUUUUGACUGACCCAAAUUAGAUCUUUAUUGUAUUUUUCCACAUAUCUAUCAUUCCCAAAAGAUCAGUCAGCUCGAUCCUUAAUUUUUCUUACUAUGAGAUGUCCCUAAUACACAGUCUUUGUAUAAAUUAUCCAUUUUAAGUAUAUAGUGAAUUCCAGAUGUGAUCACAACUGCAUUUCUUUCUUUUUUUUUUUUUUUUUGAGAUGGAGUCUCACUGUGUCUCCCAGGCUAGAGUACGAUGGCGCAAUCUCAGCUCACUGCAGCCUCCAUCUCCCAGGUUCAAGCAAUUAUCCUGCCUCAGUCUCCCAAGUAGCUGGGAUUACAGGCGCCCACCACCAUGCCUGGCUAAUUUUUGUAUUUUUGGUAGAGAUGGGGUUUCACCAUGUUGGCCAGGCUGGUCUCAAACUCCUGACCUCAAGUGAUCUGCCUGCCUCGGCCUCCCAAAGUGCUGGGAUUACAGGCGUGAGCCACUGUGCCCGGCCGCACAACUGCAUUUCUUUUUUUUUUUUUUUUUCUUUGAGAUGGAGUCUCACUGUGUCUCCCAGGUUGGAAUGCAGUGGCGCGAUCUUGGCUCACAGCAACCUCUGCCUCUCAGAUUGAAGUGAUUCUCCUGCCUCAGCCUCCUGAGUAGCUGGGAUUGCAGGCACGCAUCACCAUGCCUGGCCACACAACUGCGUUUCUAAAUAGCCAUGUGACACUCACUGAGUGCUUCCUGGGUGGCAGCCGCUGUGUUUAGCCUGAGUCUCACUUUUCUUAUCUGUCAGAUGGGAUACUAAUACCUGUUAGGAUUAAACAGGCUGUGGAGCAUGCAGUAAGUUGUCGGUGGAUAGGCACCUAUCCCUGGCAAACUCUGGGGAUCCAGGGGCAGAGUUAGGAGGACUGGCUUGUGAGGGGGUCCUUCUCAGUCACCCUCAAUAACCCGAUAGGAUGCAGCCCUUGGAGACAGGGUUCCAGUCAUAUGGGGAGCAGAGCCCCCCUGAGAUCCACAGAGCACCCCCUUAUUCAACCAACUUGCUGAAAGGGUUGGCUCUCAGCUCCACAACAAACCCACAAGUGUGUGUUGUGAGUUUUGCCCUGGACCUGCAUCCCCAAAAGUGGCCUCUUCAGAGGUGGAUGCAGCCCAGUACCCAUAGAGACACCAGGUGGAGACAGAGGCCUGGGAUGGGAGUGGCUUCCUGAGGUCCCUGGGCACAGAUCAGGACUCAACUCCACUCCCAGAAUUCACACACUGCCCUCUUGGGCUAAGAAGGGAACCGGGACCCCAACAGGCAGGCGCCUUUUGUGACAACCUCUGUGAGGGGCCUCGGCAGGUUUUGUGGACUGACAGAGUGGCCUUUCCUGAGCUGUUUAAUUGUUCUGAGCCUCGGUUCAUACAGCUGUAAAGUGAGGGUUGUAUUUCCCUCUGGGCCAUUUGAAGAAUGGUGUGUGUUGGGGCAAAGAACAGGUGGGCCCUGUGUCUGAUGGGCGUGGGCUUACCUCCUGCUGGCAGAAAGCGAAAAGGGGGCAACCAACGGCUCUGGGCGCCAGCAGAGGCUAAGGGUUAUGCCAGGGGAUCCCAGCCACGGUUAGGCAGGACCCCCCAUCAAACGCAGGGACCUGCUGUCCCCCUUGGCUUCCCCGCAUCUGUGAUCUUUGUUUGUGGAAGGCCUCCCAUCAUUAUCAUUAUUAUUUUGUGAUUCUUGUCCCGGUUCUUCAGAAAACAAAUCUUUAUUGGAUUAUUUCAAACUAUAAAAGUUAUACUGCUAAUAAACAUUUCAAACAGUCUCUUAUGACUGCUGUUCUCAGCUGAGGACACUGAUGAUUAACAGUGACGUUUAUGGAGGCCUGGAGCUGAGCACCUCAAACGCUAUCCGGUCCUGCAGAGCUCAGAGCUCGGGAACAGCUUCGGAGAGGCCCAUUUACAAAUGAAGAAUGGUGGUAAGCCUGAGUGUUGGAGGCCCUGUCCAACAUCUGCCCCAAAUCCGUGGCGUGUGGUGUCUCCAGAGGCUGCGGCAGGAAAUGGAAAGAGCUGCUGUGG